Molecule: long non-coding RNA, 719 nt
Organism: Drosophila albomicans
Lineage: Eukaryota; Metazoa; Arthropoda; Insecta; Diptera; Drosophilidae
Exons: 2
Source: RefSeq, a predicted model, not a curated record
CAUCCUCAUAAAAUUGUAAAUCAAUGUGUCUUUCUCUCACUUAUCAUAAUGAAAUUCAGUACUUUUAAUCAGUUUAUAUAACGUAUUAUAUACACACUCUCAAAAUUUUGAAAGCUGUACUCAAUUCUCUAACGGGUUGAAGUUGACGGAUUAAAGAUGUGCAGUCCCGGCGCUUGUUGUCAACCUUGCUGCGUACCUUGCUGUCAACCCUGCUGUAGCCCUUGCUGUGGCCCUUGCUGUGGCCCAUGCUGUAGCCCCUGCUGUAGCCCCUGCUGUAGUCCCUGCUGUAGUCCCUGCUGUAGUCCCUGCUGUAGUCCAAACUGUUGCAGUGGUUGCUGUGGUAAAUGUGGACCGUGUUGCUCAUCAGGUUGCUGCGGUGGCUGUUGCAGCGGCUGCUGCGGUAGCUGUUGCGGUCCGUGUUGUGGCAGUUGUUGUGGAAAAUGUGGGCCAUGUUGUGGACCAUGCUGUGGGCCCUGUUGCAGUCCUUGCUGCGGCUCCUGCUGUGGUCCUUGCUGUGGACCCUGCUGCAGUCCAUGUUGCGGAUCCAAAUGCUGCUAACCCACUGAUCGUCGUCAAUCGGUUAAGCAACUGUUCAAGUCCUGCGACAAAAUACUACUGAUCUAUAUAUAUACAUACAUAUAUAUUCGUUAUGACCCGUUAGAGAAUUGAUAUAAGACAUCCACACUUCGAGCAAUAAAAGAAAAUUGUAAUUCAAGGAA